CCGAGCGACAUGUAUUCCACGCACAGGCACGCACCAGCACACGCCCACCAGCAUAUACACCGCUACGUCCCAGCAAGAUAGGGAGAAAGACACAGAGAGAGGGAGAGGGAGAGGGAGAGGACGAGAAGGAGACAUGGGUUGCUAUCCCUUGGGCAGGCUCGUGUCCAGAGCGCUCGGAAAAUGCAACGGGCGCGAGAGCGGGUGGCGGGAGGAGAGGAUGGACUACGCCAUGGCCUACCCGCCCGGCCCACCCACGGAGACGCACUACAUGCGGCCAGUGGCGCGCGCGGCCACCGUCAGCUCCGCCAACUCCGUCUACGUGAUCCCGCCUCCUGCAGAGCCGCCGCAUCAGAAAGCCCCCGAGCCGCCGCCGCCGCCGCAGCAGCAGCAGCAGCACCCGGCGCAGCAGCAACCCCAGCAGCAAAAGCCACCCACGCCGGCGCAGGAGGCGCCGCCGGCCGAGCCCAAGCCGCCGAAGCGGGGCAAGAGCAAGAAGUCCGGCCGCGUCCGGUUCGGCCCCGAGCCGCCGCCACAAUCGGAGCAGCAGCAGCAGCAACAGCCGCCGCCGCAGCAGCAGCAGCAAGAACAGACGCCGCAGGCCGCGAACGCCGGCUGCGAGUACGCGCCGGGGCGACACGCCCCGGCGCCGCCGUGGUACUUCCGGUACACGCCGUCCCCGCUGCCGAGGUGGGAGGCGGCGACGCCGAGGCGGCACGAGUACUUCUCCGGCGAGUACCGCUACAGCUACCCGACGCCGGUGCGCGAGGGGAUCUACCGCAUGGCCACCGACGCCAACAGGCUCACCACCAUCUUCAGCGAGGAGAACCCCAACGCCUGCGCGAUCAUGUGAUGCGAGCCAUCCAUCCAUCGAGCAUUCAUCCGAUCGCCGCCGCCGCCGCCGGCGUGAGGAAUAAUCAAGACCCGUACGUACGUACGCACACGCGUUCGCGCGCGCGCCAUUUCGUUCCGUUCCAUCUCGGCCGUCGGUUUGCUGGCUAUCUAAAAUUCGUGCAGGAAUCCAAUUCUCCUUGACCUGUAGGUGUUGUAGAUAAGGACUGCGAAUAGUUUCUGUUUGAUCGCCUGAUUAAUAUGCUGAGACGAACAUUUUCUCUUGCUUUUUCGGGCCUUUCGGCUCUUAUUGCCGUCCCACUUUUUCAGUUUUAAAUUAAAUUCCCAAAGUUGAUAGGAUGUUAGUCAAAAAUCGUGGCUACAGAAUACAGACGAAGAGUUCAUUACAUUAGCAUGGGUUGAUAGUGGUGUUUGUGAGUGAGAACGCAUUGCCGAAGUAUCCCAUGACACUUCAUACAAAAUCUCCUCUUUUUGUUUACCUUUGUAGGUCGUCGAAUUAGCAUCUCGCGUUAACCACUUUUUUUUUUCACUUACAAGUGUCCAAUUCAACCAAGUCCUAGAAUGCUCUAGAAGUAUACACCGUUUGUUCCUUCUCCAAAAAUGUGAGAGUGAUUGGCGAACGUCGUUCAUUCUGCCUCAACCGUGGAAAAACCAGUGGCCGUUCACUACAACUACGCGACCGUGCGCGCUCGGCGGCGAGCUUCACCUCGCCGGAGUACGUUGCGUCGAGUCAACGCUGGGUGCUCAUCACCGUCCCGUAUCACAUCAAAC
Molecule: RNA transcript, 1620 nt
Organism: Oryza brachyantha (malo sina)
Lineage: Eukaryota; Viridiplantae; Streptophyta; Magnoliopsida; Poales; Poaceae
Gene name: early nodulin-75-like
Exons: 3
Source: RefSeq, a predicted model, not a curated record